RNAcentral lists this long non-coding RNA (300 nucleotides) under Elaeis guineensis (African oil palm). Its description in RNAcentral is "long non-coding RNA (EGUI_LNC053502)". The record is from RNAcentral. Lineage: Eukaryota; Viridiplantae; Streptophyta; Magnoliopsida; Arecales; Arecaceae.
AAUAUUUUAAUUUUUAAUUUUUAGUUUAUAUGCAUGUCUUAGAUCUGGACACAGGUAGUGUUACAUUUGAUCUAGUGCAUGAGGGGUUAAAGGGGUUUAACCUAGAUCUGCUUCCACUAUUUCAAAUUAUUUUGAAAUCUAUGCAUUCAAUCCUACUCAUUUUCUAAGUGCAUCUUUCUUUCAUGAUCAGAUUUUUCAACCGUCCACAUGCCUAGGUCAGGAACCAUGAUGGGAGAUCCCACUGUGAUCCAUGCCCCAUCGGUGGUGGCAGGCCCUUGGGUCUAGGGUGUGCGCAUCAUA